This 253-nucleotide ribosomal RNA is filed under the name uncultured bacterium. Its description in RNAcentral is "partial 16S ribosomal RNA". It matches the Rfam family "Bacterial small subunit ribosomal RNA", at positions 524 to 776 of the family's 1533-position model. The record is from RNAcentral.
UACGAAGGUGGCAAGCGUUGUUCGGAUUUACUGGGCGUAAAGGGAGCGUAGGUGGUGCGGUAAGCCCUCCGGGAAAGCUUCAGGCUUAACCUGAAAAGGUCGGGGGGGACUGCCGCGCUAGAGGACGGGAGAGGAGCGCGGAAUUCCCGGUGUAGCGGUGAAAUGCGUAGAGAUCGGGAGGAAGGCCGGUGGCGAAGGCGGCGCUCUGGAACGUUUCUGACACUGAGGCUCGAAAGCGUGGGGAGCGAACAGG